This 375-nucleotide ribosomal RNA is filed under the name Vibrio sp. RNAcentral describes it as "bacterial SSU rRNA". It matches the Rfam family "Bacterial small subunit ribosomal RNA", at positions 961 to 1335 of the family's 1533-position model. Lineage: Bacteria; Pseudomonadati; Pseudomonadota; Gammaproteobacteria; Vibrionales; Vibrionaceae. The record is from RNAcentral.
GCGAAGAACCUUACCUACUCUUGACAUCCAGAGAAGCCAGCGGAGACGCAGGUGUGCCUUCGGGARCUCUGAGACAGGUGCUGCAUGGCUGUCGUCAGCUCGUGUUGUGAAAUGUUGGGUUAAGUCCCGCAACGAGCGCAACCCUUAUCCUUGUUUGCCAGCRMGUMAUGKYGGGAACUCCAGGGAGACUGCCGGUGAUAAACCGGAGGAAGGUGGGGACGACGUCAAGUCAUCAUGGCCCUUACGAGUAGGGCUACACACGUGCUACAAUGGCGCAUACAGAGGGCGGCCAACUUGCGAAAGUGAGCGAAUCCCAAAAAGUGCGUCGUAGUCCGGAUUGGAGUCUGCAACUCGACUCCAUGAAGUCGGAAUCGC